RNAcentral lists this ribosomal RNA (485 nucleotides) under uncultured bacterium. RNAcentral's name for it is "bacterial SSU rRNA". It matches the Rfam family "Bacterial small subunit ribosomal RNA", at positions 28 to 502 of the family's 1533-position model. The record is from RNAcentral.
GAUGAACGCUAGCUACAGGCUUAACACAUGCAAGUCGAGGGGCAGCAUGGUCUUAGCUUGCUAAGGCCGAUGGCGACCGGCGCACGGGUGAGUAACACGUAUCCAACCUGCCGUCUACUCUUGGACAGCCUUCUGAAAGGAAGAUUAAUACAAGAUGGCAUCAUGAGUCCGCAUGUUCACAUGAUUAAAGGUAUUCCGGUAGACGAUGGGGAUGCGUUCCAUUAGAUAGUAGGCGGGGUAACGGCCCACCUAGUCUUCGAUGGAUAGGGGUUCUGAGAGGAAGGUCCCCCACAUUGGAACUGAGACACGGUCCAAAACUCCUACGGGAGGCAGCAGUGAGGAAUAUUGGUCAAUGGGCGAGAGCCUGAACCAGCCAAGUAGCGUGAAGGAUGACUGCCCUAUGGGUUGUAAACUGCUUUUAUAAGGGAAUAAAGUGAGUCUCGUGAGACUUUUUGCAUGUACCUUAUGAAUAAGGACGGCUAAUU